AGAGACCAAAAUCGAGAUAAGUGAUUGUUUCCUUCUUCUGCCUUUAGGCAGGAAAAUAGUCUUCAGUUUAUCUUUAUUUCAUACACAUGUAUAGUUUUUGCCUUUAGUGGGUCGAUAGUCAUUUUAGUAGUUGGAUGUGAUUUUAUUAUUCCGUCAGCGAUAAUUCCCUCUCUUCGUUUGGAUGAGAUUUUAUUUUUUUGCUUUUUAUUCUCUUUAUAGAUGCUAAUAUUUAUUUUCGAG
Molecule: long non-coding RNA, 240 nt
Filed under: Manihot esculenta (cassava)
Lineage: Eukaryota; Viridiplantae; Streptophyta; Magnoliopsida; Malpighiales; Euphorbiaceae
Description: long non-coding RNA (MESC_LNC000340)
Source: RNAcentral